AUUUAUUUUAAAUUCUAUUUUCCCCCUCUUUCGUUGCAAAACUGCAAGACGAUGUACAGUCAGUACGCGGCAAUGAGGCCAAUUAUGAGUUGAACAGCCUGUCAUCUCCAAAGUUUCCACAAGCUCUCAUUGUCUCAGUUCAGUACGCACCCAUAUCGUCUAAAGAAUUGCCUAGGCCAAAUAACUGUAACGAUUAGCGAAUCCCCAAGGUGCGCAACAUCAGCGCAACUUCGCAGUGACCUUCAGUAUGAGGUCGUUAGCCCAGAAACCCACAACUGCAUCUUUUCAACCGACUUAGAGGAGCACCCUACAACCAAUCUUCACCAUGAUACAUAAUGAAACAAUUUUCUAAGGGGUCUCCUUUCAUUGAAAAUCUGAUACACAAUGCCAGGAACGUCAGGACUGAUGGUCAAUGGAAUAGUGAAAACAGUCAUCAAGGUUCUAUUUAAAUAUCCUUUUAUGCCCUCUAUCUAGGUAUGUUGCGCAGGCUCUUUAAAGCAAGUAAAUGCCUGCUUUGUGUUGGUCAGGAAGUUGAGUUGUCAACAAAUGGCAAAACAAUGAUUGUUGUGCAUACACAGCAUCAAGCCCCGACGACUCCCAUAGACCACUUUUGAUAUUCCAGAAUACAGAUUGGUUUUCAAGCGCCAAAUUUUAGCCCUGUCGAGGAUUCUUUGUCAAACUGCUACACCAAUUGAAGAGAAAAGGAAAACAGCCACCUCGAAUUUCAAGGAAAAAUCUAUACAAAGGUCUCCAAGAGAGGCCUCAUUAAUUGCUUCUUAACGGUUGCCGAUUUGAUGUCCCUUGACAAUUAGGGACCUUGGAAUCUGAAUAGUUCUGGGGAAGAUUCAAGGUUCAAGGAGCCCGCUAACAACAGGAGUGAUAAUAAGCAUAAGGGA
RNAcentral lists this small RNA (896 nucleotides) under Histoplasma capsulatum. RNAcentral's name for it is "hypothetical RNA". Lineage: Eukaryota; Fungi; Ascomycota; Eurotiomycetes; Onygenales; Ajellomycetaceae. The record is from RNAcentral. RNAcentral also lists the same sequence under 1 other name.